CUCGUAGGCGGCCAACUAAGUCGGAUGUGAAAUCCCCAGGCUUAACCUGGGAACUGCAUCCGAUACUGGAUGGCUUGAAUCCGGGAGAGGGAUGCAGAAUUCCAGGUGUAGCGGUGAAAUGCGUAGAUAUCUGGAGGAAUACCGGUGGCGAAGGCGGCAUCCUGGACCGGCAUUGACGCUGAUGAGCGAAAGCUAGGGGAGCAAAC
This 206-nucleotide ribosomal RNA is filed under the name uncultured bacterium. RNAcentral's name for it is "partial 16S ribosomal RNA". It matches the Rfam family "Bacterial small subunit ribosomal RNA", at positions 568 to 773 of the family's 1533-position model. The record is from RNAcentral.